CGCCGGGUGUCCCGAGGCCAGCAAAGCGCCGGUCCCGGCUGGAGCCCCGCGGAGCCCCGGGCACUCGGCGCUGCCCCAGAGACGGUGUCAGUGUGCUGCAAAGAGCCCAGGAUGAAGUCAUUCUUCUUGCCAGCCUGGAAAAAAACUCAGAAGGUGUCUGGAGACCUGCAGAGAUCCUUUCCCACCUGAAUUAUUUCACAGUCUCAAGAAACACCCAGCUCUUUCGAUGCAACCCUACUAAGAGCUUCU
Long non-coding RNA from Parus major (Great Tit), 249 nucleotides. RefSeq lists it as uncharacterized. The record is from RefSeq and is a predicted model, not a curated record. The transcript is spliced from 3 exons. Lineage: Eukaryota; Metazoa; Chordata; Aves; Passeriformes; Paridae.